This 108-nucleotide ribosomal RNA is filed under the name Propithecus coquereli (Coquerel's sifaka). The record is from RNAcentral. Lineage: Eukaryota; Metazoa; Chordata; Mammalia; Primates; Indriidae.
AUCUAUGGCCAUACCACUGUGAACAUACCUGAUUUCAUCUGAUCUCGGAAGCUAAGCAGGGUUGGGUCUGGUUAGUAUCUGGAUGGGAGAAAAAGAAAUGGCUUGGUA